GACGAACCGUGCGAACGUUAUUCGGAAUCACUGGGCUUAAAGGGCGCGUAGGCGGGUCACCAAGUCCGGGGUGAAAUCCCACGGCCCAACCGUGGAAGUGCCUUGGAUACUGAUGACCUCGAGGGGGAUAGGGGCGUGCGGAACUCAGGGUGGAGCGGUGAAAUGCGUAGAUAUCGCUUGGAACGCCGAAGGUGAAAACAGGCUGCUGGGGUUGCGCCGACGCUGAGACACGAAAGCCAGGGGAGCAAACGGG
RNAcentral lists this ribosomal RNA (253 nucleotides) under uncultured bacterium. RNAcentral describes it as "partial 16S ribosomal RNA". It matches the Rfam family "Bacterial small subunit ribosomal RNA", at positions 524 to 776 of the family's 1533-position model. The record is from RNAcentral.